AACGAACGCUGGCGGCAGGCUUAACACAUGCAAGUCGAACGCCCCGCAAGGGGAGUGGCAGACGGGUGAGUAACGCGUGGGAAUCUACCCAAUUCUACGGAAUAACCCAGGGAAACUUGGACUAAUACCGUAUACGCCCUACGGGGGAAAGAUUUAUCGGAAUUGGAUGAGCCCGCGUAAGAUUAGCUAGUUGGUGGGGUAAUGGCCUACCAAGGCGACGAUCUUUAGCUGGUCUGAGAGGAUGAUCAGCCACACUGGGACUGAGACACGGCCCAGACUCCUACGGGAGGCAGCAGUGGGGAAUAUUGGACAAUGGGCGCAAGCCUGAUCCAGCCAUGCCGCGUGAGUGAUGAAGGCCUUAGGGUUGUAAAGCUCUUUCAGUGGGGAAGAUAAUGACGGUACCCACAGAAGAACCCCCGGCUAACUUCGUGCCAGCCGCCGCCGUAA
Molecule: ribosomal RNA, 447 nt
Filed under: uncultured bacterium
Lineage: Bacteria
Description: partial 16S ribosomal RNA
Rfam family: Bacterial small subunit ribosomal RNA
Source: RNAcentral